UUGCAAAGUGUGAACUAUUUCCUUUUUUCUUCAAUCUUAAUAACUUAUGCUGACAAAAUCUUAUUUUAGAAAAAAAAUAAAAUCAUGGCCUAUACUCUAAAUUCUUUUGUACUCUACUGUGUGCUCUCUUUAAGGAAGGCCAAGAGUCAAUGAAAUUAUUUCCAUUUCUAAAGCACUUGUAGUGAUUCAUUCUUUGAUAUUAUUACAUUUUUGUUAUUUUAAUAGUGAGGCAGUAAAUGAGUUUCUUCUUGCUUCGGAAUUUGACUUUGUUAAAUUUGAGUUUACAUGACUUUCAUUGCCUUUGAGUGUUGUAAAUGCCAUUUUAUUAGUUAUCGUUGAUUGGACUUCGUUUAAGGUUGGGUUUAGAUCAAUCAAAUUUCAUAUGGUUAUUUUUGUUUGUCUUAUAUUUAUGAGUAGAUGCUAACUAUUAUUUACGUGCUCUUUUCAUGUGAAAUAUCCCUCGAGUCUCCUUGGGCUCAUAUCUCUUCUCCUCGCAUUUUCCUAUUGGGCCAUAAAGGCCCAAUACUCUUGUUCACUGAGUCAGCCAGCAAGAGACUGAAGCACAGGCCCUG
This 572-nucleotide long non-coding RNA is filed under the name Solanum tuberosum (potato). RNAcentral describes it as "long non-coding RNA (STUB_LNC000891)". The record is from RNAcentral. Lineage: Eukaryota; Viridiplantae; Streptophyta; Magnoliopsida; Solanales; Solanaceae.